RNAcentral lists this long non-coding RNA (330 nucleotides) under Homo sapiens (human). RNAcentral's name for it is "HSALNT0310884". The record is from RNAcentral. Lineage: Eukaryota; Metazoa; Chordata; Mammalia; Primates; Hominidae.
AGGAAUGAGCAAGAGGAAAGAAGAUUCUGGUCUCACUUAAAAUGGACUGCGGUACCUCCUCUGCUUGAAAUUCAAAGAAGCCAAGGUUGGAACUAUAAAAGGAUGAACAAAUUACAGCAUUCAAAAUAUAUUUUAAAAUAAGAGUGGAACAAAGCUGCAGCUUUUGGGUGCUGAUCAAAUAGAAGCUAAGGCAUUCAUAGACAAGUGUUAUUUGUUUUUUCAAACAAACGAGAUUAAAAGAGAAAACCAAAUAAUGGAGAGAACCCAGCACAGAGCCAGGUAUGUCAUUAGCUCUCAAUAAAUAUGUUUUCAUUCUUCUUUAUGUCAUGC